Molecule: ribosomal RNA, 425 nt
Filed under: Ero sp. GH1082
Lineage: Eukaryota; Metazoa; Arthropoda; Arachnida; Araneae; Mimetidae
Description: partial 16S ribosomal RNA
Rfam family: Bacterial large subunit ribosomal RNA
Source: RNAcentral
UAUUAAGUAAUACCUGCUCCAUGACAAUUAAUAGCCGCAGAUUUAUCUGUGCUAAGGUAGCAUAAUCAUUUACCUUUUAAUUAAAGGCUAGAAUGAAUGGUUUUACAUAAAAUUACUCUUUAAAUUUUAUUUAUAUAAUUUAUAUUUAAAAUUAAAAUAUUUUCAUAAAUUCUAAAGACGACAAGACCCUAUCAAACUUUACUAUUGUUUUGCUGGGGCAGCAAAACAAUAAAAAUUUUGUUAAAACUAGUUUAAAAGAAUGACCCAAUAUUAUUGAUAAUUCAAUCAAGUUACUGUAGGGAUAACAGCACAAUUCUUUUUUAAGUUCAUAUUAAAAAAAGAGAUUGUGACCUCGAUGUUGAAUUAUUUACCUUAAAAACGCAAGAGUUUUAUAUGGGGGUCUGUUCGACCCUUAAAAUUUUACA